RNAcentral lists this ribosomal RNA (460 nucleotides) under uncultured bacterium. Its description in RNAcentral is "partial 16S ribosomal RNA". It matches the Rfam family "Bacterial small subunit ribosomal RNA", at positions 338 to 795 of the family's 1533-position model. The record is from RNAcentral.
CCUACGGGUGACAGCAGUGAGGAAUAUUGGUCAAUGGGCGUAAGCCUGAACCAGCCAAGUCGCGUGAGGGAUGAAGGUUCUAUGGAUCGUAAACCUCUUUUAUAAGGGAAUAAAGUGUGGGACGUGUCCUGUUUUGUAUGUACCUUAUGAAUAAGGAUCGGCUAACUCCGUGCCAGCAGCCGCGGUAAUACGGAGGAUCCGAGCGUUAUCCGGAUUUAUUGGGUUUAAAGGGUGCGUAGGCGGCCUUUUAAGUCAGCGGUGAAAGUCUGUGGCUCAACCAUGGAAUUGCCGUUGAAACUGGGUGGCUUGAGUAUGUUUGAGGCAGGCGGAAUGCGUGGUGUAGCGGUGAAAUGCUUAGAUAUCACGAAGAACCCCAAUGGCGAAGGCGGCCUGCCAAGCCAUAACUGACGCUGAGGCACGAAAGCGUGGGGAUCAAACAGGAUUAGAUACCCUAGUAGUC